AUAUUGUGCUGGGAAUAGGGUGGCUGCUGGCUAACCUUGUAUUUACCUCUCUGGAAAUACCUACAAAAUCAUUCAGCUAAUCCACUUAAAAAUAAGUAAAUAAGUAACAAAGUAUUUUCUUCUAAAUUGUUUGGAAAAGGCUUCUGGCCAGAUUUAAAAGGCCACUAAGGAACAUUUCUAAGCAGAAAACAAAUAAACAAAAAACCUUUCCCAUUAAGAAGGGGGAGUGCUUUAUUUUGAAACACUGGCAUAAUGUGUUUGACAGUUUUGACUUUUAAGAUGAUACUUCAGGAAAUGGAAUGAAACUUGCAUAGCAUUUUGAUGUCACUCAAUGUGCAGGUUUAGCUGAGAAGCUCUCGCUGGAGAAGCUGCCCAUCUGCUGCCAGCAUGUGGGGCCGUGGCGAAGCUGAGCUACUCUGAUGGCUUUGUCAGCUGUCCAAAUGAAGGGGAGAGAAAUAUCAAGGAAUCCGCUCAUUUGCUUGAACAAACCUCCUUUACAGGAGCAGGCUGCUGGAAGGCAGGUCAAGAGCUGUGGUUUGCAACCAGUUACGCUAAUGAAGACUGUGGCAUGCCCAGCCUCAUCUGGCUUUACACCAGCACCUGCGGAGAAUUUGACCCACGCCACUGAGUGCUUUGCCCAAUUAAAUGGUGCGGCAGUGGGACUAGUGCUUCCCCGUUACCUCCCAGCAGAAAGGCUGCAGAUUGCAGCUGGAUUUCUCGCAGCACCUGAGCACCUGGUGCAUCCUGAGCCACGCAGCUGGGCAGGCUGGCUUAGUGGCCAGCAGCUGGCAGGGAGCAGCUCUCCCUGUCCUGGACUAGAUCCUCAGUGCGCCACCAAAAGAAGAACCUCCGGGAUAGGCUGAACCAAGGAAAUAAUGAAGUGAUGCUGCCAAGUCUGCUUUUGAAGGGCUUCCCCUGGGCUUUGUGGCCAGGAGGUGGCUGCGGCAGCCUUCUUGCUCACUCAGUGUCUGGCUCGCUCCGGCAGCUGUGUGACCCUGCCAUGGCACUGGUGUGGAGCUGGGACAUGGGGACCCUCUCCUGCUGCUCAUACCACCAGAGCAGCAGAGCACUUUCCCUGCAGGAUGCCUUUGUGCUGGCCAUGCCAUUCCUCUACAGAGGUGAAGCAGAGCAAGCCGGAGCAGGUCCAGGAGCCUUCAGACCUCCCCUCGCAGGCAGCCCUGGUGCAACAUUUCCCCAAACUGCCCAGGUGUCCGUACGUGAAGCAAACCACAGCCUGGGAAUUUGGAUCUUAAAUAUUGUCAUGGCUGUGAAACACUGGCUGUGGGGUGUCCUGCAGGGGAAUGCGUGUGCCAGGGUGUGGAUGGGUAAGUGGCAGCAUCUGGCAUCCUACAUCAGUGAUGUCUUAUCUGUUCAUCAUCCCAGCAGCGCCCUGAUGCUGAGACCUGUCAGACCUUGCUCAUCCUAA
This 1426-nucleotide long non-coding RNA is filed under the name Anser brachyrhynchus (Pink-footed goose). Its description in RNAcentral is "lncRNA (ENSABRG00000012137.1)". Lineage: Eukaryota; Metazoa; Chordata; Aves; Anseriformes; Anatidae. The record is from RNAcentral.